GUCGUUUGACUUAGCAAACGAGGAUCGGAUAUCGUCAACCUUCUUUUCAAAAUGGUUGACGAAGUCAUCCGCGGGGAGGGGGAGGAGGAUUCAGGAGGGAGGAGAAGGUAGCAAAGAGCUUCCUAGGGUUAGAGGCAGAUGCUUGGAAAUUAGAGUGGUAGAAAGUGGCUUUAGCAGCAGUGACAGAAGAGGAGAAUGUAGAGAGGAGUGAGUGAAAGGAUGCCAGGUCCGCAGGGAGGCGAGUUUUCCUCCAUUUCCGCUCGGCUGCCCGGAGCCUUGUUCUGUGAGCUCGUAGUGAGUCGUCGAGCCACGGGGCAGGAGGGGAGGACCGAGCCGGCCUGGAGGAUAGGGGACAGAGAAAAUCAAAGGAUGCAGAAAGGGAGGAGAGGAGGGUUGAGGAGGCAGAAUCAGGAGAUGGGUUGGAGGUUUGAGCAGAGGGAAGAGAUGAUAGGAUGGAAGAGGAGAGAGUAGCGGGAGAGAGAGAGCGAAGGUUGGGACGGCGCAAUACCAUCCGAGUAGGGGCAGAGUGAGAAGUGUUGGAUGAGAGCAAGAGGGAAAAGGAUACAAGGUAGUGGUCGGAGAUUUGGAGGGGAGUUGCAAUGAGAUUAGUGGAAGAACAGCAUCUAGUAAAGAUGAGGUCAAGCGUAUUGCCUGCCUUGUGAGUAGGGGGGGAAGGUGAGAGGGUGAGGUCAAAAGAGGAGAGGAGUGGAAAGAAGGAGGCAGAGAGGAAUAAGUCAAAGGUAGACGUGGGGAGGUUAAAGUCACCCAGAACUGUGAGAGGUGAGCCAUCCUCAGGAAAGGAACUUAUCAAGGCGUCAAGCUCAUUGAUGAACUCUCCAAGGGAACCUGGAGGGCGAUAAAUGAUAAGGAUGUUAAGCUUGAAAGGGCUGGUAACUGUGACAGCAUGGAAUUCAAAUGAGGAGAUAGACAGAUGGGUCAGGGGAGAAAGAGAGAAUGUCCACUUGGGAGAGAUGAGGAUUCCAGUGCCACCACCCCGCUGGCUCGAUGCUCUAGGGGUAUGCGAGAACACGUGGGCAGACGAAGAGAGAGCAGUAGGAGUAGCAGUGUUAUCUGUGGUAAUCCAUGUUUCCGUCAGCGCCAGGAAGUCUAGGGACUGGAGGGUAGCAUAGGCUGAGAUUAACUCAGCCUUGUUGGCUGCAGACCGGCAGUUCCAGAGGCUGCCGGAGACCUGGAACUCCACGUGGGUCGUGCGCGCUGGGACCACCAGGUUAGAGUGGCAGCGGCCACGCGGUGUGAAGCGUUUGUAUGGCCUGUGCAGAGAGGAGAGAACAGGGAUAGACAGACACAUAGUUGAC
This 1316-nucleotide long non-coding RNA is filed under the name Salmo salar (Atlantic salmon). RNAcentral's name for it is "lncRNA (ENSSSAG00000101344.1)". The record is from RNAcentral. Lineage: Eukaryota; Metazoa; Chordata; Actinopteri; Salmoniformes; Salmonidae.